This 295-nucleotide long non-coding RNA is filed under the name Nicotiana benthamiana. RNAcentral's name for it is "long non-coding RNA (NBEN_LNC036900)". The record is from RNAcentral. Lineage: Eukaryota; Viridiplantae; Streptophyta; Magnoliopsida; Solanales; Solanaceae.
AAAAUGUCAUCUAUUGAAAAGUCCAACUUCUGGUAAAGAGUCAUUUCCCAAGUAUCAACAUCUGGAGAUCUGUACUUGGCCGCUCGUGUCGUGAUCAAGGUGUAAAUGGCUAGAAGCACUAGCACAGCACUUAUACUGACAAGGAUCGACAUAGCAAGUUUCAUGGUUGAUUUGGCAACUCGUGUCCUGAUCAAGGUGUAAAUGGCUAGAAGCACUAGCACAGCACUUAUACUGACAAGGAUCGACAUAGCAAGUUUCAUGGUUGAUUUAGCAUGUCGAGCGGGUCCCAGUUGAG